Molecule: ribosomal RNA, 468 nt
Filed under: uncultured bacterium
Lineage: Bacteria
Description: partial 16S ribosomal RNA
Rfam family: Bacterial small subunit ribosomal RNA
Source: RNAcentral
GACGAACGCUGGCGGCGUGCUUAACACAUGCAAGUCGAACGGAAAGGCCCUGCUUUUGUGGGGUGCUCGAGUGGCGAACGGGUGAGUAACACGUGAGUAACCUGCCCUUGACUUUGGGAUAACUUCAGGAAACUGGGGCUAAUACCGGAUAGGAGCUCCUGCUGCAUGGUGGGGGUUGGAAAGUUUCGGCGGUUGGGGAUGGACUCGCGGCUUAUCAGCUUGUUGGUGGGGUAGUGGCUUACCAAGGCUUUGACGGGUAGCCGGCCUGGGAGGUGGACCGGCCACAUGGGGCCUGAGGGAGGGCCCAGCCUCCAACGGGCGGCAGCGGGGGGGAAUAUGGCGGAGGGGGCGGAAGCGUGAUGCGGAGGCGCCGGGAGCGGGAUGACGGCUUUCGGGUGGAAAACCGCUUUGGCCGGAGACAAGGCGGGAGUGACGGUAACGGGUAAGAAAGCACCGGCUAACUACGUG